RNAcentral lists this long non-coding RNA (3718 nucleotides) under Homo sapiens (human). Its description in RNAcentral is "non-protein coding lnc-PSMC3IP-4:1". The record is from RNAcentral. Lineage: Eukaryota; Metazoa; Chordata; Mammalia; Primates; Hominidae.
AAUGAGUAAACGGGAGACGAAGAUGGGCUGCCCAGUCCCCUCUUCCCACAGGUAGUGUCUGCAGAGCUGACUUGGAUCCUGUGAGUGGGAAGGCGCCUGGGAAACUUGGGACAAGGUGAGAAUUUCCCAAACCAACUGCCCAGCCAGGCCUACUGAAGCUGUGGCCUUUGAUAGAAGGAAAAGCAGCAAUGCUGGAGGAGGGAGGCGAAGGUCAGGGGUCCACAGGGGCUCAAGAUGGCUGAGCCUGGAGCGACGCAGGGGCUGUGGGCACAGUGACAGGCAGCUUCUCCGGGGAAGUCAAACAUACUUUAUUCAACAUAGGAAUGUCUGAACAGGAGGACCUUGGGCAGGGUUCCCUGAACUCUGCUUCAAACCCCACUGGAAACAGAGCAAAGAUCAUCACGAAAACCCAGGACACCAGGGCAGGGGGGCUGCACAAGGUCGGGUCAGGUCACAGUGGGCCAGCACACAGUGGCCCCGCCCAGGGCCAGCCCAGCCUGGGAGAGGGGAUGAGGGCUCCAGGCAGCUCACUCAGAAAAGCCAGGGUAGGAGGAGGGCACCAGCCUGGCCCACUCAGGGAAUUCUUUCUACCACUGAAAGCGGUGGGGAUUAACUUAGCCAGGGCUGCCACGCCAGCACACGAUUACAAGGUUCGGGGUGACAAGGAGGAAGCCCCUUGGCAGGACUGUGCAGCCCUCACAGCCACAUGCACGGCAGCCCUGCCAAUGGCUUCCAAACAGCAAACCAUCAGUGACACUGACCUUCCCUGCCCAGGACACCCCUCCUGAGACCUGGGGCCAGUGUGGUGAGGAGGGGGCACUAGGGGCGGAGCCAGGCAGGCUGCAGGCAGAACCAAGAGGACCCCAGUCCCACACUGAAGACAUCAUGAUUGGGGGUGGGGAAGAUCUCAGGGUCUCCAUCAGGGAAGAGCAUCAGUCUGCACCCUCGGCCUGAGGGUGUGCUUGUGGGCAGGGCCCAUGCAAGGCCUGGGAAGAAGCCAACCCCGAGAGAGGGAAGCCCUGUGCACUGCGGAGCAGCCAAGGCCUCUGUUCCAAGCAUCCCGGCUGUGCUAUGUAGUGCAGGGCAUGAACGGGGAGAGAGGAAAGGAUGGGAGUGCAGGGUGGGGUCAGAAAGGCGGUGUAGAUAUCCUAUGACCCCUGGGGAUGACAGGGAGAAGCCACUCAUGAUGGCCUAGUUGGGUCCAGCUGAAUGCCAGGGGGGUGGGCAAAAGACGCAAAUAUCAUCUUCCUGGACCCACCCCUGCUAAUCCAAGAGUGGGACAUGUUACCAGUGUCCCCUUCUAGGGAAGAAUCUGUAUUACUCCCCCCACUACUCCUGCUAGAAACUACGGUGGCAGAUGCAGGGAACUCAAAGUCUAGAUGUGAAUGGCAUGGGUGCUCCUUCCAUCUACAAUGCACGGGGAAGAUGAAAGGGCUUUGGGAUGGCGUGGGAAUGCAGACUGGCUCACCACCAGGAGGUGGGAAGGGCUGUCUGGAUGGAUGGAGGCUAAGAGGGCAAGGCUGGUGCCCAGUGAGUAUGAGUGACAGCCAGAAAAUCACUACACUACACACAAAGCUAGGGGUGGUGGGAGACCCAAGGAGGACUAUUCUAUCUAAAUGACUCACAGACAGGGUGACACGAAUGAGCUGGUGCCCACAGAUCACAACCAACAGGCAGAGAGGCACAGCUGAUCACUGUGGAGGGAGGCGGGGAGGGUAGCAUGGGGCACACGGCCCUCACAGGGACUCACUCUUCAAACUUCCCUUCCCGAAUAUGCUCGAAGGAGAAGGGUAAGAACUUGAAACCGGUCCCGCUGUAGAAUUUAUUCUGGAACUCAACCCUGGAGAAAGAGAAGAAGAAAGCUGUCAUUCAAUAGAAACUUUGUGAAGCUUUUUAGGACUUCACAGUUGGGCAGGAAAGAUGCCCCGUGCCCACCUCACCCCGAGCCUCCCUUCCCUGGGGAAGCUAGAGAAAGCCCAGAGUGCAGAGAUCCCACUUUUAAGGCCUGGGAUCAAGAGUUCGACGCACGGAGGAAGGGAUUUGCCCUCAGUUCCCAAUCUUGCUCUGUCCUGCCGAGCAGUGUGUUUAUGCACAACUCUCUGCAGAGAGGCAUGUGCAAAAAAAGUUCAGUUACCUUGAGCCUAACAUCGUUAAUGAACAAGUGGCCCCCAUCGCCCCCUCCUGGCAGGGGAUCACACAGCCCACCUCUAAGGGAAGCCCCUCCAGAGACACUGGGCAAGCACCUCUGUUUGCUUGUUAUUUUUCCUUGGGGGAGCAAAAGGGCGAGCUUGGAGUGAAUGUUGAAGGCUUUCCAUUUAAGGAAGGAAAUUCCAAGGAAAGAGGGGGAGUUAGGAGGGGAAGUCUUCUCAAAGCAAUGGCAAAAAUAUUCUCCAACCACAAAAACAUCUGAGAAAGAAUUCUUCUCUUGGGGACUAAAAAGAAAAAGCCUGAGCUCCCUUCCCAGCAGUUCAGCAUCCAUGCCUGAUGGUCUCUGUGGGGCCCUUUCACUCUCAGGGAGGGUGGGAGGAAGACUGUCCCAUAAGCAGAGCGAGGCUGCUUGGCUGUGCUUCCUCCUGCAAACUCACCCUGGACAGCUGCCCAGCAACCAAACCACACCAAAUAAGGGCAGAAAAAUGCAUGAUUCAGGGGAUAAAAAGGCCAAGGAGAGCUGCCCUGAGGAAUAGUUUCCACAUGGUGCUGUGUGACCCUGGAGGCACCGGAGCCCCUAUAAGAACAGGCAGGCGUGGGGGCUGGGGCAGGCUCCAGGUGACAGGUCACGUGCAGGGUGAGGGCUUUGAGGCGCUUUAAAGCUUCAGGAACCCUCUAGUUCCCUAACUCAGCUUUUACAAAUGGAGAUUCCUCCCUCCAAGCCAAGAAGGCAGGAAUUAAGAGAACAGGGGCUGGGAGGUGGCUGGGGCCCAAAGGUUACAGACUGUUUGCCAGUGGCACUGGGAGUUCCUCAGAGGCCCCUUCACUGGGGUGCAGGCUGAGGAGCACCCCCUUGAAGAAGAGCGCAACCGAAUUUUCUGAGUGGGAGUAAAAGCAGUCAGCUUUCUUCCCCACAUCCCCACAUUCCACAGGGGUGGGCCAAGGUCCUCCAGGAAAAACAGGACUCAGGAGGGGGAGGACACAGAGCUUCCAACUGACGUUAGCUGACGGUUCCCACCAGAGCAAUUCCAAACCAGGACCUGGAUUCACCCACGUCCCAACACCCCACCAAAACUACUUCUCCAAGUUCCAGCUACUGAGACCACCUCUGAGGGAACGCGGUGGGGCCUAGCAGUGGGUUCCUGCUUCUCACCCACUUGUGUUAGGUUUGAAUUCUUCAUGUUGAAUAGACUGUGUUCCCAUGUGGCAAGGGUUAUUUCAGAACAGCUGAAACGAGAUUUACAUGUCCCCUUUUCAUUCAACAAUACAUAGCCAGAGAGUGGACAAGUCACCUGAGGGUCCCAGGCCAUUACCUAGGAGUGAAUGUCAGCCUUGGUAGGGUAUGCUGACCCCCGACUCCAGUGAGGUGUCCAGAACUCUGACCCCCACCCCCUCCUGGCUAAUCACAAAACCAUUCUAAUCUUCAAACUGGGCAAAUGGAGCAGCAGCUUUGUUUUCAGAUGCCUGUGGGGGCACCGCCCUUUUCUUGGCACCCCUCCAGUCACCUUAUCUACCCAUGGGGGCCCAGCAAGGAGGAAGAGGGAUAUAUGCCUGGGAGGGGCACAUCAAU